RNAcentral lists this long non-coding RNA (227 nucleotides) under Lathyrus oleraceus (garden pea). RNAcentral describes it as "Pisum sativum (pea) long non-coding RNA (PSAT_LNC017406)". Lineage: Eukaryota; Viridiplantae; Streptophyta; Magnoliopsida; Fabales; Fabaceae. The record is from RNAcentral.
AUUGUGAGUAUUUUCUCCGUUCUCUUAACUAAAGACUUGUGGUGUGAUGUAAUUGAUUCUUUUUAUGCAUUCUUAGUAUGAUAUGUAGGACUAAACUUUAAAUUAUACGUUAUUUGUGGUAGAUCAUUUAACCUUGUGAGAAUUUGAGUCUUUUAAUGGAUAACAUUAAAAAAAUCCAUCUUUUCUUUCUUGUGUGUUUCACUCAUGUAUGUUAGGCUCUAGAACUU